UUCCCCAACCAGGGAUCGAACCCGGGCCCCCUGCAGUGAAAGUGCAGAGUCCUAACCACUGGACCACCAGGGA
RNAcentral lists this transfer RNA (73 nucleotides) under Eschrichtius robustus (grey whale). Its description in RNAcentral is "tRNA-Glu". Lineage: Eukaryota; Metazoa; Chordata; Mammalia; Artiodactyla; Eschrichtiidae. The record is from RNAcentral.